Long non-coding RNA from Oryzias melastigma (Indian medaka), 633 nucleotides. RefSeq lists it as uncharacterized. The transcript is spliced from 2 exons. Lineage: Eukaryota; Metazoa; Chordata; Actinopteri; Beloniformes; Adrianichthyidae. The record is from RefSeq and is a predicted model, not a curated record.
CAGCACCAGGGAGCUGGAGAAAUUCCCCGUAGUGUGCUGGUGAAUAAUCGGAGCAGGGAAGCGGGAUUCCUUCACCGGUUGCCAUGACAACGCAGCGUAAAGCACUUCCUGUCUAUGAGCAACACUCAGGAUGUGAUUGUGUGCAGAUGAGGCAGGGAGGCUCUCUGACACCGGGCUCCACAGAGAGGAGGAGGACGGACACACACACCUUCAGGAGGAGCACAAGGAGGAGAGACAUUCAGCUGUGUUGACACAAGAUAUUAUAUGAUACUUCCAGGUGUGUGUGUGUGUGUUUUUCUCAGCUGCGCUCAGCAGGAGGAAGAUCAGAACACCGGGAAAUGCCUUGAUCGUCGCUGCUUGAUUUGAACCAUUUAUAUCAACAGCGUAACGUCCUCUUUCGCUGUCCUGACCAUGACGGAGCGUCAGGGUGCGAGUCAAUGCUGUAUUGUUGAAGGAUGCGGAGGUGGUGUUGUCAUCCUGUCAGUUAGCUUCCUGGCAUUCUUGAGGAGUCAUCCCACAAAAUCAUAGAUUACAUACCGGCUGAAGUGUGGGAAUUAUCAGUUUGGAAAUAAAAAAAAGUGAUUUUGCUAAUUAAAAAGUCUUUUUUUUCGGUUCAAAAGUAAAAAAAAAAAA